Molecule: ribosomal RNA, 384 nt
Filed under: uncultured bacterium
Lineage: Bacteria
Description: bacterial SSU rRNA
Rfam family: Bacterial small subunit ribosomal RNA
Source: RNAcentral
AUUGAACGCUGGCGGCAUGCCUUACACAUGCAAGUCGAACGGUAGAGUAGCAAUACUCGAGAGUGGCGAACGGGUGAGUAAUAUAUCGGAACGUGCCCAGUCGUGGGGGAUAACGUAGAGAAAUUUACGCUAAUACCGCAUACGAUCUAAGGAUGAAAGCGGGGGAUUCGCAAGAACCUCGCGCGAUUGGAGCGGCCGAUAUCAGAUUAGGUAGUUGGUGAGGUAAAGGCUCACCAAGCCGACGAUCUGUAGCUGGUCUGAGAGGACGACCAGCCACACUGGGACUGAGACACGGCCCAGACUCCUACGGGAGGCAGCAGUGGGGAAUUUUGGACAAUGGGCGCAAGCCUGAUCCAGCAAUGCCGCGUGCAGGAUGAAGGCCUU